Non-coding RNA from Canis lupus familiaris (dog), 95 nucleotides. Lineage: Eukaryota; Metazoa; Chordata; Mammalia; Carnivora; Canidae. The record is from Rfam.
AGGAGCAACAGCCCCAGUGGCGGGGCCAGCUCUGGAAACCUGGAUUCAGCUCCCGCAGGAACUCCGUCUGCAGGGCCUGGAGGCUCCGGGGCGGG